This 72-nucleotide transfer RNA is filed under the name Phrynosoma platyrhinos (Desert horned lizard). Its description in RNAcentral is "tRNA-OTHER". It matches the Rfam family "tRNA". Rfam says of the family: Transfer RNA (tRNA) molecules are approximately 80 nucleotides in length. Their secondary structure includes four short double-helical elements and three loops (D, anti-codon, and T loops). The record is from RNAcentral. Lineage: Eukaryota; Metazoa; Chordata; Lepidosauria; Squamata; Phrynosomatidae.
GCCAAUGUGGCAUAAUGGUUUGAGUGCUGGACUGUAACUCUGGAGACCAGGGUUCAAUUCCCAGCUUCGCCA